CUUGUCCAAAAUGUGAUUUUAGGGUGACAUCGGUAGUUUUUCUUAAAUAUCCACCUCUUGGAGCCCAGAUAUCACUUACGGUCCCAAAAUAAAGAGCCUUGGAUACUAGAAGAAAAGCAU
Molecule: non-coding RNA, 120 nt
Filed under: Spinacia oleracea (spinach)
Lineage: Eukaryota; Viridiplantae; Streptophyta; Magnoliopsida; Caryophyllales; Amaranthaceae
Description: Antisense RNA which regulates isiA expression
Rfam family: Antisense RNA which regulates isiA expression
Source: Rfam by way of RNAcentral